ACACAAGCGGGCUUGCUCGCGAAUGCGGUGUGUCAGACAACACUUCUGUCUACUGACACUCCCACUUCGCGAGCAAGCCCGCUCCCAC
This 88-nucleotide unclassified non-coding RNA is filed under the name Pseudomonas migulae. Lineage: Bacteria; Pseudomonadati; Pseudomonadota; Gammaproteobacteria; Pseudomonadales; Pseudomonadaceae. The record is from RNAcentral.